AUAUUUUUUUUUAAUUUUUCUCUCUGUUCUGUGGAAACACGCCUCGCUUUUUGAUCUCUCUCACGGCUCUCUCAUCUGUCUCCGCUUCCUUUUUCUUUGCAAUUCUACAUUUUCUCAAAUUUUUCUAGCGUUUAUUACCUUCAACCUCACCUGGCUCUCUUCUAUUUUGUGCUGAUUCCUAUUUCAACUUCUAGGGUUUGCUGCUUUCCACUUUGCAACUCAUUCUUCAACUUGUUUGCCCUUUAUAAUCUGCAUUCCCCAACUGGGUCUUGCUUCUCUAGUAUUUCUUCCUCUAGGGUUGGUUUAAUUUCACAUACUACUGACUUGUUUCUACAGCUGGGUGCUCUUAGAUCUCAAAUUCACUUCUGUUCUUCGUUCUGUAGUUCUUAAUUGUUCACUCAAUGUCACAAGGCUAUGCAAUUGAGCUAUACUUCGAUCCAGCCCUUGAAAACCAGGUUUUGAAGGCCUGGAACGUGCUAGCGCGUCGCCAAAUUAGUACCCAACUCAUUGAAAUCGAGUCUCGCCCUCACAUAACCCUCUAUUCUAGCUCGUUUGUUGAGCCUACAAAGCUUGAAUCAAUCGUCAAGACAUUUGCCUCAAAGCAGGAACCAUUGUCCUUAUGCUUGUCUGCAGUUGGGAGUCUUCCAAAUGACAACAAUGUCCUCUUUUUAGCCCCUACACCUUCACUUUCACUUCUUCAAUUUCAUUCGCAGUUGUAUGAUGCAUUGAAGAAGGAGGGGAUUGAGAUUACUGAAGAGUUCCGCCCUGAUUCUUGGAUUCCUUAUUGUGCGGUGGCUCAAGAUGUCCCAAAGGCGAGAAUAGGGGAGGCGUUUUGUGUCUUGAGAGACUUGAAGUUGCCGGUUACGGGGUAUGCAAUGGAUAUUGGGUUGGUGGAGUUCUCACCAGUUCGUGAAUUAUUCUCGUAUGUCCUUGGCAAUUCAAUAGAAGGAUGAGUUUGGUAUCUAAUGGCCCAGUUUCAAUGUUGCAUGUGUUAAUUUUGCAUUCGGAGAUCGAUUAUGCAGCCGUUGAUUCCCAUUCUUCCAUGUCAAGGGCAUGAAAGGGCUGCAAUCCAAUUCCACAAACACACAUAGAUUGGGGGAGAUAUUGUUUGCAUGAAGGGGAGUCUGCAAAAUCUGAAGCAGCGCAAUUAUCAAUAUGAUGUUUUUCCUGUACCAAAAAGGAAGAUAUUUAAACUGGCCAUCUAUAAUAGUCAGAGAGGAAUGUGCUCUCCUUCAUGGCCAUUGAUUUCCUAAGUUGCUAUUUUCUGGUUUUAUACUUGAUAUUAUCUUGCAUCAUCUUCUAAAGUAGAGUUGGACAUACAUUGCCCCUGAAGUUGGCACUGUUGAUGCCAUUCAAUUGUUUAGGCUGUUUGGUCCUGGCUUUCAUUCCAAGGACUGGCCAUUCUCUAUUCAAAUAACUCAAAGUUCAAAUCCGAAAGGCUGAAGCCAUUUUCCUUUUCUCUGGUUAUA
RNA transcript from Manihot esculenta (cassava), 1469 nucleotides. RefSeq lists it as uncharacterized. NCBI's taxonomy places the organism in Eukaryota, Viridiplantae, Streptophyta, Magnoliopsida, Malpighiales, Euphorbiaceae. The record is from RefSeq and is a predicted model, not a curated record. The transcript is spliced from 3 exons.